This 429-nucleotide ribosomal RNA is filed under the name Chloroflexota bacterium. Its description in RNAcentral is "Chloroflexi bacterium partial 16S ribosomal RNA". It matches the Rfam family "Bacterial small subunit ribosomal RNA", at positions 355 to 776 of the family's 1533-position model. Lineage: Bacteria; Bacillati; Chloroflexota. The record is from RNAcentral.
UGGGGAAUAUUGCACAAUGGGCGCAAGCCUGAUGCAGCCAUGCCGCGUGUGUGAAGAAGGCCUUCGGGUUGUAAAGUACUUUCAGCGGGGAGGAAGGGAGUAAAGUUAAUACCUUUGCUCAUUGACGUUACCCGCAGAAGAAGCACCGGCUAACUCCGUGCCAGCAGCCGCGGUAAUACGGAGGGUGCAAGCGUUAAUCGGAAUUACUGGGCGUAAAGCGCACGCAGGCGGUUUGUUAAGUCAGAUGUGAAAUCCCCGGGCUCAACCUGGGAACUGGAUCUGAUACUGGCAAGCUUGAGUCUCGUAGAGGGGGGUAGAAUUCCAGGUGUAGCGGUGAAAUGCGUAGAGAUCUGGAGGAAUACCGGUGGCGAAGGCGGCCCCCUGGACGAAGACUGACGCUCAGGUGCGAAAGCGUGGGGAGCAAACAGG